RNAcentral lists this non-coding RNA (31 nucleotides) under Rattus norvegicus (Norway rat). The record is from RNAcentral. Lineage: Eukaryota; Metazoa; Chordata; Mammalia; Rodentia; Muridae.
UGGAAAAAAGAUCCUCCUCUUCCUUUGAUGC